GUUGUCUUCGGACAACCACCAAUGCUCAGUGGGUCUGUGAUGAGCGCUUUCGGGUGACCC
Molecule: unclassified non-coding RNA, 60 nt
Filed under: Serratia sp. Tan611
Lineage: Bacteria; Pseudomonadati; Pseudomonadota; Gammaproteobacteria; Enterobacterales; Yersiniaceae
Description: STAXI
Rfam family: STAXI RNA
Source: RNAcentral